CCUACGGGAGGCUGCAGUGGGGAAUAUUGGACAAUGGGCGAAAGCCUGAUCUAGCCAUGCCGCGUGUGUGAAGAAGGCCUUCGGGUUGUAAAGCACUUUCAGUGGGGAAGAAAGCCUUGGGGCUAAUACCCUCGAGGAAGGACAUCACCCACAGAAGAAGCACCGGCUAACUCCGUGCCAGCAGCCGCGGUAAUACGGAGGGUGCGAGCGUUAAUCGGAAUUACUGGGCGUAAAGCGCGCGUAGGCGGUCUGAUAAGCCGGUUGUGAAAGCCCCGGGCUCAACCUGGGAACGGCAUCCGGAACUGUCAGGCUAGAGUGCAGGAGAGGAAGGUAGAAUUCCCGGUGUAGCGGUGAAAUGCGUAGAGAUCGGGAGGAAUACCAGUGGCGAAGGCGGCCUUCUGGACUGACACUGACGCUGAGGUGCGAAAGCGUGGGUAGCAAACAGGAUUAGAUACCCCAGUAGUC
This 465-nucleotide ribosomal RNA is filed under the name Vreelandella stevensii. RNAcentral describes it as "partial 16S ribosomal RNA". It matches the Rfam family "Bacterial small subunit ribosomal RNA", at positions 338 to 795 of the family's 1533-position model. The record is from RNAcentral. Lineage: Bacteria; Pseudomonadati; Pseudomonadota; Gammaproteobacteria; Oceanospirillales; Halomonadaceae.